Long non-coding RNA from Nomascus leucogenys (northern white-cheeked gibbon), 2274 nucleotides. RefSeq lists it as uncharacterized. The record is from RefSeq and is a predicted model, not a curated record. Lineage: Eukaryota; Metazoa; Chordata; Mammalia; Primates; Hylobatidae. The transcript is spliced from 6 exons.
CCUGCCCCGCGCGGCGGGAGUGGUUGGAGCCGGAGGGCGGGUCUGUGCCUGGCCGAGGGUGUCCGUCGGCGUCACUCACCGUCCUCGGCCCGCCUCUGCGUCCACUAGGUGCGGCCUGAGAGAGGCCCGCACGCGGGCUCGAGCCGCGUGGAACGCACCUAGAGCUGCAUUCCAUGUAUUCCUUGGCUUUUGGUCCUUUCCUCCAUCAUCAAGUAACUGGAGGUGUGAGGUGAGACUCACCUGACAGCUGAGAGCCUGGCCAGGAGAUCCACGCUGCAGAGGCCAAUGCUGGGCAUCCCCUCCCCUCUUCAACCAGGCAGUUGCCCUGGGCCACCUGGUGGCCUGAAAUAACGACCAAAAGAACUCACGAAGCAUUUAACCAAGACUCUACAUGUUGACUUUUCAGCCAAGGACACUUCAGUGACUGGCCGCAGUUCUCCGAAGGAAGCUGCUGCCAGUUGCCCCUGGGGGGUUAUUUCCUUCUUGGACAUCAUGACCACAAUGGCAGAAAUGCAUUGAUGGCCAGCACUCUGGGGAUGAAUGUUUUUGAGGGGAAAUUAAACAUACCAAACUGGUUAAAGACAAAAAUGCAGAGUUGGACAAGUUCUGCAGGUCAUGAAGGGCCUUUGAAGCAGCCAGGCCCGGUUCCUGCUCUGCUGUAUGGGAGGCUGCUGGCCUAAGCUGGAGAGCAGAAAGGCCCAGUGCCAAGAGUUCAGCAAGUACCGGUCCCAGGCCAGGCAUUUGCUAAUAAGCCAGGGUGACAGUAAGGACAAGGGGACUCUGGUGUGAUGUGAGGUUUCUCAGCCUCACUUGUUACACGUGUGAUAAUUGCACAACCCUCCUGUCCCCUCCAGGCCUGUGUGAGACAGGAAAGGUGAGGCUGCCCCUCCCUCUGCACCUUAAAGCCACUCGGGGUCUGGGUUUUCCUGAGACUUCGGGAGCCAGAUGCAGACUCCCAAAGGCACUGAUCCUUCCUCGAUCUCCCUCCCUCAAGAGUGGCACUAAUCAGGUCUAAUUUAGAGAAAAUCCAUCACCUCCCCCCACUGUGGGCUCUGCCACUUCAUGCCUUGGUCUCUCCACCUAUCAGCCAGCUGGAGCUUGGGACUCAAGGAGGCAUGCUUGGAAGUAGGGAACUUCUGUGAGUAUGAGGACAUCUGGGUGGUGCUGAACACCAGCAUGCUUUGCCCCGUGGCCUGGACUGUGCACAGGGCACCUAGACUGACCUGUCACCUCCCACGCAGGUGGAAGGGUGUGAGACAGCAUGGGCACUCAGUUACAAACAUCCCCUUCCCAAACACUUGUGGAUCGAAGUCUGAGGCUACUCCUUCCAGGUGAGGGUUGGCUGGCUGCUGUUGUAGCUUGUUAUUCUCUUUCUGUCCCUUCUGCCCUCAGGUCUUGACCAUGCAGCUUCCAAGAACAGGAUGGGGAAUGAUAUGGGCGCCUGGGGAGGCGAGCAGCCAUGGGCCUCACCUGCUCAUGGGCACUGACGGUCCCAACAGCAGGUGGACAUGAGUCUAACCCACAGACACCAGAGUAGAGGGAGCUGGGCUCCCUGAGUCUGGAUGGGGUUCUCACAGGCCCCCACAGGGAGACAAGGAAGCUUUCUCCAGAAUGUAGAGUAUGGACUCACUGUGUGAAUAAAGUAAAUGAGCUGGGUGGAGGGGGGCGGGCAAGAUUUCAAAAAGCACCACUCAUACACCCAGGACUGGCAAAGCUGCUGGCAGUAAGCUCUAUCAUGGGGCUCCCCCACUGCAGGUGAGCUGACUGGCCUUAGCUGGCACCAUCCAUGCUCAGUGUUUGCCCUGAGGACAAGAAGACCUGGCAGAAAAGAGGAAAGUACAGAACGCGCUCCCACCUGGCUGGUGGGGAUAUAGACGGUGCAGCUGCCGUGGAAACCUUCAGCUCCACAGAAAGCAGAAUGCACCCAUGCCACAGUGCUCCUGCCUGCAGCCUGCCAGGCGUCGGCCCACCCUGCAACAUCCAGGAUGUCAUUUCAGCCCUGGUCACACGAAAGCACUGCAUGGGAUGAAGGUGUCCUUAUGAAGGAGGCAAAGGGAGUUCUGACACGGAGAAGAGGAGGCCGUGUGAAGAUGGAGGCUGAUAUUGGAGUGAUGCAGCCACACUCCAAGGAACACCUGGAGCCACCAGAAGCCAGAAGAGGCAAGACCCCCACCCAGAGCCGUCAGAGAGCACAGUACUGCCGACGCCGACACCUUGAUUUCAGACUUCUGGCUUCUAGGACUGUGAGAAUAAAUUUCUGUUGUUUUAAACUGC